AUGGUAUAUCUUCACAAAUUCUUCAAAAAGACCUCAUACAAACUCCUCACUAACAAGAAACCCAAUGUGAGUUAUUUCAAAGUCUUCGGUGCUAAAUGUUGGAUUAGAGAUCCUCAUCACAAUUCUAAAUUUGCACCGAAAGCACAUGAAGGUUUUAUGCUUGGUUACGGAAAGGACUCGCACACCUACAGAGUCUUCAACACCGUUCAUCACAAGGUUGUUGAAACUGUAGAUGUGCGAUUUGAUGAAACUAAUUGCUCGCAAAGAGAGCACUUACCUCCUGUGUUAGAUGAAAAGUCACCUGAGGAAACCACCAAGUUCAAGGCUACUGAGGAUGUCAUACCUACUGAAGAAUCUGCUGAAGAAGUCAUUCCAGAACAUGAAGAACAACAAGCUGGGACACCUGAAGAAAAUGGCUCUGAAGAAAAUGUUGAGCCAACUCAACAUCGCCAACCCGCUCAUCCUCGCGUUGCAAAUGAAGUGCAGAUCGAGAAAAUCAUCAACGACAUCAAUGCACCAGGUCCUCUCACACGCUCAAAGGCUUUACAUUUAUCUAGCUUUUGUGGCACUUUGCUUUUGUCUCGAUCACAGAGCCCACCAAAGUAG
This 606-nucleotide ribosomal RNA is filed under the name Triticum aestivum (bread wheat). RNAcentral describes it as "partial small subunit ribosomal RNA". Lineage: Eukaryota; Viridiplantae; Streptophyta; Magnoliopsida; Poales; Poaceae. The record is from RNAcentral.